AUGGAGGUGGCGGUUCCUGUCAUGGCGCCGAGCGCGCCGUGCAGCCCAAGAACCGCGGCUGCCAUGGGCGGCGGCGGCGGCAGCCAUUUACCUAGCUACUGCUACUUCUUCUCCAGCGCCCCCACCAGCCCGUCCAGGGCCAGCAGCUACGCCGCGGACGAGCAGGGCGACGCCGGGACGUUCGACUUCGCCUUCGGGUUCAGCGGCCAGCUCAGGGAGUCCACGCCCAUCCUCGCCGCCGCCGACGAGCUGUUCGAGGGCGGCAGGAUCCGGCCGCUUAACGGCCCCCGCUGCAGCGGCGGCCUGCUCGCUGACGAGGACUACGCCUCCCUCUCCGUCUCCCCCCGGUCGCCGAGAAGAGCGAGGACGAUGUCCGCGGUGCGCGGCGGCGGCGCAGGGGAUCGGGCUGAGGCGUCGGCCGAUCAGGGCCAGACGAGGGGCAGGUCCGGCCGGCCGGCCCCCGCGUCGUCCUCGUCGGGCGUGUCGUCCCGGAGCCGGAGGGCCACGCGGUCUCUCUCCCCGUACAGGGGCGACCCGAUCGACGACGAGUUCUGCUCCUCCCCACCCUCCCCGCGCGGCGCCGCCUCCCUGAUGCGCGGGUGCGGGAGCGGCAGCCGGAAGUGGCGGCUCAAGGACCUGUUCCUGUUCCGCAGCGCGUCGGAGGGCCGCGCCACCGCCGGCAAGGACCCGCUGCUCAAGUACAGCAUGCUCAAGAGCGGCGGCGACGCGUCGAUGCGGAAGGGGCGGGGCUCGGCGGCGUCGGCCAGCGACAUGGCGCCGUACACGGUGAGCCGGGCGGCGGCCGAGGAGAUGCGGCGGAGGACGACGACGCCGCUGCCGUUCCACCGCAACAGCCUCUUCGGCUACUUCCGGUCCAACCCGGCCAUCCACUCCAUCAGCCGCAAGCUCAGCAGCUACUCCUCGUCGAACUCCAACCGCGGCCGGAGCGCCACCGCCGCCGCCAACUGA
This 969-nucleotide ribosomal RNA is filed under the name Triticum aestivum (bread wheat). RNAcentral describes it as "partial small subunit ribosomal RNA". Lineage: Eukaryota; Viridiplantae; Streptophyta; Magnoliopsida; Poales; Poaceae. The record is from RNAcentral.